UGCGCGGUUUUAAGUGAACCAAACUGCGUCGAUAAGGAACGCCAUUCACGUUGACUAGAUAUGAACGUUCGCUUAAACGAUCAGUAACAAUUCCGGCACUCCAUUGUUUUGAGGUUUCUGGUUGUAACUGUGCGUAUAUAGGAGAGCCAAUCCGGAGCUCAGAAGCAGGAACAUUUUCAAUGAUUCGCGGAAGUAAAUUUCCUUUCGACAUUGGUACACCACAACGAGUAGAGCGACAAAACAGUCGAGAUACGGGGCUGGAGCCAAUUUUAUUAGCUGCUUCUGCCUUUCCAUUUGCCUGCUGGUGAUGCGGUGCUGAGGUAACUAAUUCGAAAUCCCAUUCACGAGCGAAACGAGCCAUUUUAACAUUGGAAAAGUUGGUUGCAUUGUCACUGAUCACCCUCUGAGGUUUACCAUAACGAGCAAAAUUUUGUUCGCAGGCAACGAUGACGGACUCAGGAGUCAAAUCCUUCAAAAUGUCGAGUUCGAAAAAAUCCGAAUAGUGGUCAACCGUCACCAGGAACUUACGUUUGAUGUUUCGAUAUUCUGCUUGGAAAACGUCCAUGGAUACCAGUUGAAAUGGAUAAACCGGUAUAGAGUGGCUCAUCAUAGGCGGAUUCGGUUGUGAGGCUGCAUACGUUGCACAAACAGUACAUACUUUAACGACGUCUUUGAUCUGCAUCGACAUACCUGGCCAGAAGAGAUUGGCUCUGGCUAAUUUCAACGUUGACUCUAUUCCGUUGUGGCUUAUAUGGCAGCAAUCUAUGAGUUUUCGACGAAGAACAUGUGGCACGACUAAACGAUCGCCACGGUAUACUAUUCCAUCUUGAGUAGAUAGCUCGUUGCGAUAAUUAAAGUAGAUUUUAACGUUGUCUGGUACGCGGCCGGCGAUUGCUGGCCAUCCAUUAUGAAUAUAACUGAUAAUCAAUUGCAGCGACUGGUCCUUUUCGGUUUCGAAUUUUAUUUCCUCCAAACGGCUGUCCGAAAUGCACAGGAAUUUCGACAAUUGAAGCCCUUCUAUUUCACCCAGAACUUUAUAUAUAUUACGUUUGGUGAAAACUUCGCAUUGGUCUUUCUGCAGUGGUGCACGAGACAGAGCAUCUGCAACUACAUUAUCUUUCCCGGUGACAAACUCGAUGGAUAGUCGGUAACGCUGUAGGUUGAGCAACAUGUGUUGGAGUCUACGUGGUGCUGACAAAAGCGACUUCUGAAACAAACUGAUGAGCGGCUUGUGGUCUGUCCUGAUGACUGUUUUUUGGUUUCCUACGAUUAGUUGGUCAAAACGAGUGCAUGCGAACAGUAUUGCUAGUAACUCCUUUUCGAUUUGAGCAUAGUUGCGUUCGGUCGCUGUUAGUGUUCUUGAUGCAUACCCAAUAACACCGUUAGAUUGAAAGACCACUACACCCAGUCCAUAACAGCUUGCAUCACAGUGGUUCAUUAACGUUAUAAUAUCUAAGCGUUGUUACAUCUGAUACAAGUGAUUUAAUUCGGUUAAAUUCUUAAUUUUCAACAGUCGUCCACUGCCACGGUACAGAAUCUAAGAUAAGCUUACGGAGAUUUGUAAAGUUUGCGCUGAGAUUUUUUAUAAAUCUACUUAAAUAAUUGACCAUGCCAAUAAAGCGGUGAACUUCUUUGCGGUUUGUCGGUAUGGGGUAGUUCCGAAUUGUGGCGAUUUUGCUUUCAUCUGGUUUGAUGCCUUGAUUAGUCAACACAUGACCAUAAAAUUUCACUGACGUUUGGCAAAGCUUUAACUUCGACCUAUUCAACUUAACGUUAUGUUCUCUCAAACGAAUCAACAGCUGAUUCAGGCAGUUGUUGUGAUCAAUGAGAGCUUCUUCUAGGCUGUCACCGGAUCCAUAGACUAACAAAUCGUCCGCAAUGCACUCGACACCUUUCAAACCUUGAAUAACUUCCUGGAGGCGCAUCUGAAAGAUUUCAGGAGCAGAAGCUAUUCCAAAUGGUAAACGAGUCCAUCGGUAGCGACCAAAGGGUGUCCAAAAGGUUGUUAGCUUGCUACUGGGCUCAUCUAGAACUACAUGCCAAAACCCUUUUUUAGCAUCAACAGUAGAAAAAAUCUUUGCUCUGCUUAGUUCUGGAAGAAUUUCAUCAAGUGUAACAAAUUGUAGAUUUGGCCGUUUGAGUGCUUUGUUAAGGGGUAUCGGAUCCAAACAGAUUCUUAUACUGGAUGACUCUGGACUGUCACGUUGUACGAUUACAACGUUACUUACCCAGUCUGUAUGUUUAGAUUCUUUGACGAUUAUACCCUCCUUUUCAAGUAUCUCCAACUCCUUUCUGAGUUUCUCGCGCAUAGCUAUGGGUACUCUUCGUGGUGAUUGGAUGGAAGGAGAAAUGCAAUGGUCCACUUCCAAGGAAACUGUACCAGCUAGUUUACCGUGUCCAACGAAAAUCUGCUCGUGAGCUUCUACUAUCCUUUGUGCUUUUACUCGAUAAACGUUUAACAUCUUCUGCGAUGAGUCGGUUGAUUUCGGAGCUCCGAAAGAAACUGCUUUGUAAAAUUUCACAAAUCCGAGAAUUCUACAUACUUUUGCUGAUAACAAAGGGCGAUGGUUACCCUCAACUACCUGUAGUACUAACGAAUAUUUUCGACCUUUGCGACGGCAUGGGAUUUUUACUUCUCCAAGAACAUUGAUAGGAUUACCACCAAAGCUCUGUAGACGUAAUUUUGAAGGAAGCAGAGUAGGGCUUUGAUGUUCGCUAAGUUCUAUUAGACACUGGCGACCGAUCAAACUGGUGUUAGCACCAGUAUCCAGUUCACAUUUCACUGGUUUCCAUGUAUUAUUAAACUUAAAACUGAGGUUCGCUAUGACACUACCUCCAUUUUCCGAAUUAUCCACAAUUUUCCCAAUUUCAUAUUCAUCUUCACUUUCUUCUGAUGAAGCUUCGCCGGUCGACGACUCAUCACCUGUACUAGUACUCGUUUCUUCCUUGACUUCUUUUACCUUUUGGAAUUUCCUUCUUUUAACUAUUCGAGGCUUGUUGCAAACUUUCUCGAAAUGGUUUUUUCCUUUGCAACGGUGACACUUUUUACCCAAAGCUGGACAUAUACCCUUGGCGAAUUCAUGACGUUCACCGCAAAACUUACAACGAAGACCGUUUUUCUUAGGGUAUGAUAUUUUCUUCACGUCCGUGUUGGUCGGAAUUGCUAAGUCUAAUGAUCGUUUUGCUGCUAUUUCUUCUGCUCUACACAUAUCAACUGCUUUUGACAAAGUGAUAUCAGUGAUGGUCAGCAUUUUAGUGCGAAGCUGAGACCAUUUGUUAGCGGUAACAACUUUGUAUGUGAUGAGCUCUGUUUCCAGUGGUCCUAAUUUGGCUGAUUUGGCGAGAAUUUUCAAAUGAGUGGUAAAGUCAUCGAUGGAUUCUUCGGACGACUGAGAUGCGGAGAAAAAAUCCAAUCUAUCGAUAAUGGUGUUUCGCUUUGCCGUAACUUUUUCUUUAAUGGCCUUUAAUGUUUCCUUCACAUUAUUCUGUUGAUCUGGUGUGAGCUCAAAGUUGAAAAAUUUUCGCCUUGCCGGCUCACCAAUCACCGAUAGAAGAAAGCUAACUUUCUGAGUGUUAUCAACGUUUGGCCAUCGAUCCAUACCCACGGCUUUAGUGUAACUAUCCCAACUUCUCUCGAAAAAUUCGUAAUUCUGUUCCAUGUCCCCUUCUAGAGCUAGCGGCGCUGGUUGCGGAACUGAAAUAUUUGCCCCAAGUGAAGGUCCUACUGAUCCCUGCAUCGGAUCUGGUGCAGAUGAUUUUUUUGCUGACGUUAGACCGUGCAUGAGUUGUCCAAACAGCUUUGUUUGGUGCUCUAAAAACUGGGCAAACUGAUUUGGAUCCAUUUUGAUGAGGACUCCGUUAAAAAAAACUGCUAUUGCACUCGUGAUAGAAAAAUAAGAUGGCUGCCGAUGCUGAACGUCUUGUUCCAAUCGUUCUAAUAAUUUGAUAUGCGUUGAACACUUGUUUCCUUUGUUCGCGAUUUCGUAAAUGACGCGAGAGACUGUACUUAAAUUCACACGGCCACUUCUGACACCAUGUUUUAUUCACUCGAAAUUUACUUCAGAAUUUUAUUAGGCGAUCCUUACAUAGCGAAGUACAGAUAUAUAAUGAAUAAAGAAAGGACAUGAUCGCGCUUAUGGCGCGUAACAACGUACACUAGUUCUUUAUUCAUGUGUACGCUGGAAGAAGCUGUUAAAACAUUCCCGAUAUAAAUUUUCUUUAAGUUUCGUCUUAGACUCGACUUCCCGAUAUGUUGUCAGCACUAAAAUUAAAAUUUUCACCUGACGAGAUAAUAACCCCUAUUCUGCAUUUUGACCGAAUCGAAAUGCUCCGAUCGAAUGUGUACAUUUUCAUGUUGCAUUUCGAUCGAAAUAUGUUUUUGUGCGGAAAACUCGAACUAGGUCGUAGUAGAGAAUGAAAAUUUUCACAUUCGAACAGAAUACAGAAUAGGGGUGUGUAUCCCAGUUAAACGUCCAAUAAAUGCGUCCCGAAAUCGUUCGUGCAAGCUUCGUGUUAAGGGGCGAGUAGGGUCUAACCGACGACGUCUAACACUAUUGAAAAAUCAUUAAUUUUUUUCUUUGUAUUCUCUUAUAGUAAAACAUUUCAAGAAUAUUCCGUGAAAUUUUCAAGCCUAUCGGAACAAAACUCAGUGAGUUAUGGGCCUUUAUCUUUGUUUAUCUGCAAGCUCGGUGCAUAGGCCAAAGAUUACUGCUUCGAUUGACUUAAAAACUUAACAAACCAUUUUUGUAAUGUUUUAUUAUGGGAGAAUACAAAAGAAAAACCUGUUUUAAUCCACCUAGUGGUGUAAUGAUGCCUUUCUCAUGUACAUAUAAUAUUGUGGUAUUCUAUUCAAAAAAAUUCUCUUAGAGUUUUGGAAGAAACCAAGAGAUUGUUUAUGCAUAACAUACAGAAUAAAAGAGUGCUUUGAUUGCGUAAGCCAUCCUUAAGAAAACGAAAUGGGAUCACUAUUAUAUGCACUUUCCGGAAUCCGGAACCGGAUACCGGAAACCAGGAUAGCCGGAAACAGUUUGUUUAGUUGCCUACUGAUAAUGACUAUCGAUUUGUGUAGUUUUGAGACCAGUUUAGAAUUUUUUUUACGUUUUUUG
This is a long non-coding RNA of Malaya genurostris, 5105 nucleotides long. RefSeq lists it as uncharacterized. The record is from RefSeq and is a predicted model, not a curated record. NCBI's taxonomy places the organism in Eukaryota, Metazoa, Arthropoda, Insecta, Diptera, Culicidae. The transcript has 3 exons.